UGGUUUAAUUCGAUGCAACGCGAAGAACCUUACCUACUCUUGACAUCCAGAGAAUUUAGCAGAGAUGCUUUAGUGCCUUCGGGAACUCUGAGACAGGUGCUGCAUGGCUGUCGUCAGCUCGUGUUGUGAAAUGUUGGGUUAAGUCCCGCAACGAGCGCAACCCUUAUCCUUUGUUGCCAGCGGUUCGGCCGGGAACUCAAAGGAGACUGCCAGUGAUAAACUGGAGGAAGGUGGGGAUGACGUCAAGUCAUCAUGGCCCUUACGAGUAGGGCUACACACGUGCUACAAUGGCAUAUACAAAGAGAAGCGACCUCGCGAGAGCAAGCGGACCUCACAAAGUAUGUCGUAGUCCGGAUCGGAGUCUGCAACUCGACUCCGUG
Molecule: ribosomal RNA, 380 nt
Filed under: Enterobacter sp. B-03
Lineage: Bacteria; Pseudomonadati; Pseudomonadota; Gammaproteobacteria; Enterobacterales; Enterobacteriaceae
Description: bacterial SSU rRNA
Rfam family: Bacterial small subunit ribosomal RNA
Source: RNAcentral